ACGCUCGACACCUACGGGAGGCAGCAGUGGGGAAUAUUGCACAAUGGGGGAAACCCUGAUGCAGCGACGCCGCGUGAGCGAAGAAGUAUCUCGGUAUGUAAAGCUCUAUCAGCAGGGAAGAAGAUGACGGUACCUGACUAAGAAGCACCGGCUAAAUACGUGCCCGCAGCCGCGGUAAUCUGAGCGGCUGGCAAGGC
Molecule: ribosomal RNA, 197 nt
Filed under: uncultured bacterium
Lineage: Bacteria
Description: partial 16S ribosomal RNA
Rfam family: Bacterial small subunit ribosomal RNA
Source: RNAcentral